Molecule: ribosomal RNA, 255 nt
Filed under: uncultured bacterium
Lineage: Bacteria
Description: partial 16S ribosomal RNA
Rfam family: Bacterial small subunit ribosomal RNA
Source: RNAcentral
UACGUAGGGGGCAAGCGUUUGUCCGGAAUCAUUGGGCGUAAGCGCGUGUAGGCGGCCCGGUAAGUCCGCUGUGAAAGCCCGGGGCUCAACUCCGGGUCGGCCGUGCGAACUGGGGGACUGGAGCUUGUCAGAGGCAGGCGGAAUUCCGGGUGUAGCGGUGGAAUGCGUAGAGAUCCGGAAGAACACCGGUGGCGAAGGCGGCCUGCUGGGACAGUGCUGGACGGCUGAGGCGCGACAGCGUGGGGAGCAAACAGG